AUGCAAUUUAACCACUCACAUGGACACUUGGCGAAACCAACGUGGUGUUAUUUUUUUCCUUUACCUUGCAUCUUCUCCUUUAUUUGAUGAGGUGUAACCCUUCCAUUCAUCUCUAAUAUGUUCGCCAGUUGCACUCACAGUGCACUCCAAUCACUACAGAUUAGCAGUGUAUCCUUCAAAACAAAGAUGGAGUUAUAAAGGACCAGCC
Molecule: non-coding RNA, 208 nt
Organism: Pelobates cultripes (western spadefoot toad)
Lineage: Eukaryota; Metazoa; Chordata; Amphibia; Anura; Pelobatidae
Source: the annotation of a GenBank genome assembly